RNAcentral lists this transfer RNA (83 nucleotides) under Caudoviricetes sp. RNAcentral's name for it is "tRNA-Tyr". It matches the Rfam family "tRNA". Rfam says of the family: Transfer RNA (tRNA) molecules are approximately 80 nucleotides in length. The record is from RNAcentral. Lineage: Duplodnaviria; Heunggongvirae; Uroviricota; Caudoviricetes.
GAAUAGGUGGCUGAGAGGCGAAAGCACCAGACUGUAAAUCUGGCACGUAAGAUACACCGUAGGUUCAACUCCUACCCUAUUCA